Molecule: ribosomal RNA, 253 nt
Filed under: uncultured bacterium
Lineage: Bacteria
Description: partial 16S ribosomal RNA
Rfam family: Bacterial small subunit ribosomal RNA
Source: RNAcentral
UACGUAGGGCGCAAGCGUUGUCCGGAAUUAUUGGGCGUAAAGAGCUCGUAGGCGGUUUGUCGCGUCUGCUGUGAAAACCUAAGGCUCAACCUUGGGCUUGCAGUGGGUACGGGCAGACUAGAGUGCGGUAGGGGUGACUGGAAUUCCUGGUGUAGCGGUGGAAUGCGCAGAUAUCAGGAGGAACACCGAUGGCGAAGGCAGCCCCCUGGGCUAGCACUGACGCUCAGGCACGAAAGCAUGGGGAGCGAACAGG